Molecule: long non-coding RNA, 1552 nt
Filed under: Panax ginseng (ginseng)
Lineage: Eukaryota; Viridiplantae; Streptophyta; Magnoliopsida; Apiales; Araliaceae
Description: long non-coding RNA (PGIN_LNC010276)
Source: RNAcentral
CUCUGUUCCCCAUUCCUCCUCCGCCUCCUCUGUUGAGCAUUUUCCUAUUGUUCUUCCUCAUUGCUUACAUUAUCAUCAAACAAUUGAUCAACAAAAGGCAUCCUAAAUGAGGAGAAGGGACUUUCUCCUUUUCUAAAUCAUCUUUAAAAAUCCAAAAAAAAGUCAUGCAUUCUAUUCCACAGGUAAGCUAUAUCAACUAAGCAAUACAUUUCACAAUACAUAAUACAUGGCAUUAACAGGGCAUACAUUCUUUUUAUUUUCAUUUGCUCAACAUGCAUUACAAAACUUGAGUUAUAAUGCAUUGAAUUUCAUCAAAAUACACAAUACAUUAUAAUAACUUCAUGGUACAUAAAGAAGAAUUCUUACAAAGUCAUAAAAUGAAAACACAAAUUCAUUACAUAGCUUUGAAUGCUUAAAAAUCCAUGAAUAGAUAACUUAAUACAACACAAGUCACCAUCCAUGACAAUAUCACAUACAGUUGUGAUUUCUUAUUUGCCUCUCCUAAUUUGACAGUUUCCAACUCCAAAUUUAAGGCCUCCGUUUUCAAAAUUUUCAACUUUUCUUUCAUCUUUCUUGUUUUGUUCCUUAGAAAAUUGACUCCAUCUUCGUUCAUUGAAACAAAACCCAUUUCACUGCAACCAUUACCAUGAACUUCAUUUUGGGAACUUAUGUCCAACCAUUGAAAAAAUUCACAAUAUUUAUUAACAUCUUGUAACAGAAAAAAAACACCCAACCAAAUUGAAUCCAACAUUACAAUAAUAUACAAAUUAAUACCUAAAAUAUACUUACCGGUAAAAACGACAUCCAUAGAAACUUCUUCCCUUUGAUUUGUUCUUUGUGGAGAUACAAAUGGAUGCAGAAAGUCCACAGAAACAUUUCACCCUCUUUGGAGCAACUGACGAGGAUUUACUAUUUGAAGAUGACAUUAACAACCUUUUAGGUGUUCAAAUGGUUUGAGAAGAUGAAAACCCCUAAUUUUCCCUUUGAUUUUUUCCCCUUUAAUUUUGGCCGAAUCAAUCUCCUUAUAUGACUUCGACUCUACUGGAACCCUAGUUUGCAGCAAUCGAUCAAAGAAAGAAAUUAGUGAGCCGAAGAGUCAUAUAUAUAACAAGAAAAUCAUACAUACCUUAAAAGUAGAAUAAAAUCCCUUUGAUUGUAUUGUUAAAUUGUUAAAAUUUUUCACUUUUUACAGCAAUCGAUAAGGAUCGACAAAGAUAUGCUGACUGACAAUCGUCGUUCGUUUUGGUGUGCACUAAUCGUGAGCCUGGGUGUUCGAAUGGUUCGUCGUUCGUCUGGGUGUACAACAAUCGUUCGUCGUUCGUCUAGGUCUGAUUUUGGGCGACUUGAUCUCCAAAUGUAUGUGUUCAUCUACAAUAGUUGAAAUGAGUGAAGGUCUUGAAGGUUGUUUUUUAUUGUCGCAUAAUCCACCUGUGUUUAGCCAUGUCAUUUUUCCUUUUCUGUUUAAAAGUCAUGUAGGAAAAAACCCAAAUCAAUUUAAGAGAAGUUAGCCUGAGUUAAUAAACUAGCCCAAUUGUAAAAUUUUAAUUAGUUU